GCACUCACUUCGGCAGCACAUAUACUAAAAUUGGAAUGAUACAGAGAUUAGCAUGGCCUCUGCACAAGGAUGACAUGCAAACUCGUGAAGUGUUCCAUAUUUUU
Molecule: small nuclear RNA, 104 nt
Organism: Vulpes vulpes (red fox)
Lineage: Eukaryota; Metazoa; Chordata; Mammalia; Carnivora; Canidae
Source: Ensembl